UGGGGAAUAUUGCACAAUGGGCGCAAGCCUGAUGCAGCGACGCCGCGUGAGGGAUGACGGCCUUCGGGUUGUAAACCUCUUUCAGUACCGACGAAGCGCAAGUGACGGUAGGUACAGAAGAAGCACCGGCCAACUACGUGCCAGCAGCCGCGGUAAUACGUAGGGUGCGAGCGUUGUCCGGAAUUAUUGGGCGUAAAGAGCUCGUAGGCGGUUUGUCGCGUCUGCUGUGAAAACCCGAGGCUCAACCUCGGGCCUGCAGUGGGUACGGGCAAACUAGAGUGCGGUAGGGGAGAUUGGAAUUCCUGGUGUAGCGGUGGAAUGCGCAGAUAUCAGGAGGAACACCGAUGGCGAAGGCAGAUCUCUGGGCCGUAACUGACGCUGAGGAGCGAAAGCAUGGGGAGCGAACA
RNAcentral lists this ribosomal RNA (407 nucleotides) under uncultured bacterium. Its description in RNAcentral is "bacterial SSU rRNA". It matches the Rfam family "Bacterial small subunit ribosomal RNA", at positions 355 to 774 of the family's 1533-position model. The record is from RNAcentral.